This 253-nucleotide ribosomal RNA is filed under the name uncultured bacterium. Its description in RNAcentral is "partial 16S ribosomal RNA". It matches the Rfam family "Bacterial small subunit ribosomal RNA", at positions 524 to 776 of the family's 1533-position model. The record is from RNAcentral.
UACAGGGGGGGCAAGCGUUGUUCGGAAUUACUGGGCGUAAAGGGCUUGUAGGUGGCCAAUUAAGUCAGACGUGAAAUCCCUCAGCUUAACUGGGGAACUGCGUCUGAUACUGGAUGGCUUGAGUUUGGGAGAGGGAUGCGGAAUUCCAGGUGUAGCGGUGAAAUGCGUAGAUAUUGGGAGGAACACCAGUGGCGAAGGCGGCUCACUGGACCGGAACUGACGCUGAGGCGCGAAAGCGUGGGGAGCAAACGGG